This 504-nucleotide ribosomal RNA is filed under the name uncultured bacterium. Its description in RNAcentral is "partial 16S ribosomal RNA". It matches the Rfam family "Bacterial small subunit ribosomal RNA", at positions 30 to 523 of the family's 1533-position model. The record is from RNAcentral.
AUUGAACGCUGGCGGCAUGCCUUACACAUGCAAGUCGAACGGCAGCAUGGAGAGCUUGCUCUCUGAUGGCGAGUGGCGAACGGGUGAGUAAUGCAUCGGAACGUACCGUGUAAUGGGGGAUAACGUAGCGAAAGUUACGCUAAUACCGCAUACGACCUGAGGGUGAAAGCAGGGGAUCGCAAGACCUUGCGUUAUACGAGCGGCCGAUGUCAGAUUAGCUAGUUGGUGAGGUAAAGGCUCACCAAGGCGACGAUCUGUAGCGGGUCUGAGAGGAUGAUCCGCCACACUGGGACUGAGACGCGGCCCAGGCUCCUACGGGAGUCAGCAGUGGGGAAUUUUGGACAAUGGGGGCAACCCUGGUCCAGCCAUGCCGCGUGAGUGAAGAAGGCCUUCGGGUUGUAAAGCUCUUUCGGCCGGGAAGAAAUCGCACAGGCUAAUACUCUGUGUGGAUGACGGUACCGGCAUAAGAAGCACCGGCUAACUACGUGCCAGCAGCCGCGGUAA